RNAcentral lists this ribosomal RNA (396 nucleotides) under uncultured bacterium. RNAcentral's name for it is "partial 16S ribosomal RNA". It matches the Rfam family "Bacterial small subunit ribosomal RNA", at positions 523 to 918 of the family's 1533-position model. The record is from RNAcentral.
AUACGAAGGGUGCAAGCGUUAAUCGGAAUUACUGGGCGUAAGGCGCGCGUAGGUGGUUCAGCAAGUUGGAUGUGAAAGCCCCGGGCUCAACCUGGGAACUGCAUCCAAAACUGCAUGACUAGAGUACGGUAGAGGGUAGUGGAAUUUCAUGUGUAGCGGUGAAAUGCGUAGAUAUAGGAAGGAACACCAGUGGCGAAGGCGACUACCUGGACUGAUACUGACACUGAGGUGCGAAAGCGUGGGGAGCAAACUGGAUUAGAUACCCUGGUAGUCCACACCGUAAACGAUGAAUACUAGGUGUAGGGUAUAUCAUGUACUCUGUGCCGUCGCAAACGCAAUAAGUAUUCCACCUGGGGAGUACGGCCGCAAGGUUGAAACUUAAAUGAAUUGGCGGGG